Molecule: ribosomal RNA, 481 nt
Filed under: uncultured bacterium
Lineage: Bacteria
Description: partial 16S ribosomal RNA
Rfam family: Bacterial small subunit ribosomal RNA
Source: RNAcentral
GAUGAACGCUGGCGGCGUGCCUAACACAUGCAGGUCGAACGGAGAUUACGGACGGAAGUUUUCGGAUGGAAGCCUGUAAUUCUUAGUGGCGGACGGGUGAGUAACGCGUGGGCAACCUGCCCUAUACAGGGGGAUAGCAGCUGGAAACGGCUGGUAAGACCGCAUAAGUCGGUUAAAUCGCAUGAUUUGAUCGGGAAAUGAGCAAUCAGGUAUAGGAUGGGCCCGCGUCCGAUUAGCCAGUUGGCAGGGUAAAAGCCUACCAAAGCGACGAUCGGUAGCCGGACUGAGAGGUCGGACGGCCACAUUGGGACUGAGACACGGCCCAAACUCCUACGGGAGGCAGCAGUGGGGGAUAUUGCACAAUGGAGGAAACUCUGAUGCAGCGACGCCGCGUGAGUGAAGAAGUAUUUCGGUAUGUAAAGCUCUAUCAGCAGGGAAGAUGAUGACGGUACCUGACUAAGAAGCCCCGGCUAACUACGUG